AAGGGCUGUGAAUUCAAGUCUGAUUUUAAGAUGGAGAUGCACAGGAGGACCUGGAGGACACCCACCCACAAAUAAUUGCCCACCGAGACACUGGAUUGAAGACCGGUCCCACAAGAUGUCCGCUUCUCCACGUUGUUGGGAUCGUUGAGCCAGAGCUGCAUGCGGACGAACGGCUCCCGGCCCUUCAGGCUCAGCUUGUGCCAGGGCUUGGGGCGAGCGAGGAGGUCGGAGACCGAGCCUUGCGUCAGUCCCAGGAUCGUCUCCCCAAACAGACGCUGACCUGCAAAGAAACCCAUAUUGCAAAUGCCAUUGACAAAAUGUAACACUCAUUACAUGGCUGCCUAUCUCCUUCCUCAUGUCUUCCUGAUCCGUAGCAGACUUGUUUUCCACCCAUGAGAUUCUGUGAAACCACCACAUGGACCUCCAUGCGGAAAGGCCACUGCAUGGAAAUCCAAGAUACAACUGGUCUAAAAAUGAGCAUCUAUGUUUUGAGCCCCUUUGCAUGCUCUAACUGAAAAGUGGGAUCUAAGUAAAUAAAUGGA
Sceloporus undulatus (fence lizard) is the source of this 542-nucleotide long non-coding RNA. RefSeq lists it as uncharacterized. The transcript is spliced from 3 exons. NCBI's taxonomy places the organism in Eukaryota, Metazoa, Chordata, Lepidosauria, Squamata, Phrynosomatidae. The record is from RefSeq and is a predicted model, not a curated record.